CCUACGGGAGGCAGCAGUGAGGAAUAUUGGUCAAUGGACGAGAGUCUGAACCAGCCAAGUAGCGUGAAGGAUGACUGCCCUAUGGGUUGUAAACUUCUUUUAUAAAGGAAUAAAACGAGGCACGUGUGCCUUUUUGCAUGUACUUUAUGAAUAAGGAUCGGAUAACUCCGUGCCAGCAGCCGCGGUAAUACGGAGGAUCCGAGCGUUAUCCGGAUUUAGUGGGGUUAAAGGGAGCGUAGAUGGGUUGUUAAGUCAGUUGUGAAAGUUUGCGGCUCAACCGUAAAAUUGCAAUUGAUACUGGCAGUCUUGAGUACAGUUGAGGUAGUCGGAAUUCGUGGUGUAGCGGUGAAAUGCUUAGAUAUCACGAAGAACCCCGAUUGCGAAGGCAGCUUACUAAACUGUGACUGACAUUGAUGCUCGAAAGUGUGGGUAUCAAACAGGAUUAGAUACCCCAGUAGC
RNAcentral lists this ribosomal RNA (459 nucleotides) under uncultured bacterium. RNAcentral describes it as "partial 16S ribosomal RNA". It matches the Rfam family "Bacterial small subunit ribosomal RNA", at positions 338 to 794 of the family's 1533-position model. The record is from RNAcentral.